Molecule: long non-coding RNA, 710 nt
Organism: Marmota flaviventris (yellow-bellied marmot)
Lineage: Eukaryota; Metazoa; Chordata; Mammalia; Rodentia; Sciuridae
Source: RefSeq, a predicted model, not a curated record
ACACAGACAUUGAUUUUCAUAGAUUUGGUAUUUGCGAAUCGUGCCAUUUUGUAAGCUACCCAAAGUGAAGCUCUUUAAAGGGAAUAAUUGCAAGAAAAAAACAUUGUGUAUGUGUCCAGUAAAGAUGCAACUCUUCAAAUAUUAUUGAUCCACUGUUGGUAGAAUAUAUGGAUGCAAAACUCAUUAGAUAUAAAGACCAUGUCAUUUUCAAAACAAUCUAGUAAGGAAGCAAUUUACGUGCAGUUCUACCUGGCCUGAGUGGACAGAAUAUAUUGCAUUCCUCAGCAAACUACCUGUUAUCUACAGAGAAAUGCAAAUAAUGUCGAUUGAAGGAAUCCUGAUUACCCUGAAGGGGGACACUUUUGAAACCUUUUCUACGCACCUGAUCCUGAAACCCAGGGAGAUAAGGCUAAUUCCUCCUGACAAUAAAAUCUAUAAGAAUUUAUGAUUAAGAAUCCAAUUAAAAUUAAUCAGCAUGGGCCAAUGAGACCUAGAAAUGUCAUGGAGAGGGGACUUAAAAGUCUGAGGUCAUCUUGCUGUCAGCCAAAAGUUGAAAGGUAGAAGUGAGUGAGACUCUCUGGAAACUUCUUUGGGAUCCCCAAUAAAACUACAGUGCAGGAAAGGCAUAUUGUCCCUCUCCUUUCUGAGAGGACCCACUCUCUCCCUUGAAAAUAUCCCCUGCCUCAUUUGCCAUCCCUUCAAUAAACUCA